RNAcentral lists this ribosomal RNA (253 nucleotides) under uncultured bacterium. RNAcentral's name for it is "partial 16S ribosomal RNA". It matches the Rfam family "Bacterial small subunit ribosomal RNA", at positions 524 to 776 of the family's 1533-position model. The record is from RNAcentral.
UACAGAGGGUGCAAGCGUUAAUCGGAAUUACUGGGCGUAAAGCGCAUGUAGGUGGGUUUAUAAGUUUGAUGUGAAAGCCCUGGGCUUAACCUGGGAAUGGCGUUGAAGACUGUAGAUCUAGAGUUUGACAGAGGGUCGUGGAAUUUCCGGUGUAGUGGUGGAAUGCGUAGAUAUCGGGAGGAACACCAGUGGCGAAGGCGGCUUCCUGGACCUGUUCUGACGCUGAGGAGCGAAAGCGUGGGGAGCGAGUCGG